RNAcentral lists this ribosomal RNA (367 nucleotides) under uncultured organism. RNAcentral describes it as "bacterial SSU rRNA". It matches the Rfam family "Bacterial small subunit ribosomal RNA", at positions 526 to 896 of the family's 1533-position model. The record is from RNAcentral.
CGUAGGUGGCAAGCGUUGUCCGGAUUUAUUGGGUUUAAAGGGUGCGUAGGCGGUUUCUAAGUCAGCAGUGAAAUACGGCAGCUCAACUGUCGAGGUGCUGUUGAUACUGGGGAACUUGAGUACUGAUGAGGUAGGCGGAAUGGACGGUGUAGCGGUGAAAUGCUUAGAGAUCGUCCAGAACACCGAUAGCGAAGGCAGCUUACUAAGGAGUAACUGACGCUGAGGCACGAAAGUGUGGGGAUCAAACAGGAUUAGAUACCCUGGUAGUCCACACUGUAAACGAUGAUUACUCGAUGUGUGCGAUACACGGCACGCGUCUUAGCAAAAGCGAUAAGUAAUCCACCUGGGGAGUACGCCGGCAACGGUG